UGUAGCCACCUCGCUCCGCAGACG
Molecule: microRNA, 24 nt
Filed under: Octopus vulgaris (common octopus)
Lineage: Eukaryota; Metazoa; Mollusca; Cephalopoda; Octopoda; Octopodidae
Also listed under: 1 other name
Description: Ovu-Mir-12575_5p (mature (guide))
Source: RNAcentral